This 406-nucleotide ribosomal RNA is filed under the name uncultured bacterium. RNAcentral describes it as "partial 16S ribosomal RNA". It matches the Rfam family "Bacterial small subunit ribosomal RNA", at positions 30 to 526 of the family's 1533-position model. The record is from RNAcentral.
AUUGAACGCUGGCGGCAGGCCUAACACAUGCAAGUCGAACGAGAGGCGGACGGGUGAGAGAUACCUGUGAAAAUGCCUGACGUCGGGGGAUAACUACUGGAAACAAUAGCUACUACCACCUACCCUCAGCAGUGCCCCGAUGGGUUUAGCUAGUGGGUGGGGUAACGGCUCACCUAGGCGACGAUCCCUACCUGUUCUGAGAGGAUUACCAGCCACACUGGAACUGAUACACGGGCCAGACUCCUACGGGAGGCAGCAGUGGGGAAUAUUGCACAAUGGGCGCAAUCCGGAGGCAGCCAUGCCGCGUGGUUGAAGAAGGCCUUCGGGUUGUAAAGCACUUUCAGCGGGGAGGCGUUACCCGCAUAAGAAGCACCGGCUAACUCCGUGCCAGCAGCCGCGGUAAUUC